UACGAAGGGGGGCUAGCGUUGCUCGGAAUCACUGGGCGUAAAGCGCACGUAGGCGGAUCCUUAAGUCGGGGGUGAAAUCCUGGAGCUCAACUCCAGAACUGCCUUCGAUACUGAGGAUCUCGAGUCCGGGAGAGGUGAGUGGAACUGCGAGUGUAGAGGUGAAAUUCGUAGAUAUUCGCAAGAACACCAGUGGCGAAGGCGGCUCACUGGCCCGGUACUGACGCUGAGGCACGAAAGCGUGGG
RNAcentral lists this ribosomal RNA (243 nucleotides) under uncultured bacterium. RNAcentral describes it as "partial 16S ribosomal RNA". It matches the Rfam family "Bacterial small subunit ribosomal RNA", at positions 524 to 765 of the family's 1533-position model. The record is from RNAcentral.